Molecule: ribosomal RNA, 253 nt
Filed under: uncultured bacterium
Lineage: Bacteria
Description: partial 16S ribosomal RNA
Rfam family: Bacterial small subunit ribosomal RNA
Source: RNAcentral
CACGGGGGGAGCAAGCGUUGUUCGGAAUCACUGGGCGUAAAGGGCGUGUAGGCGGUCAGGUAAGUGGGAUGUGAAAUGCCCCGGCUCACCCGGGGACCGGCAUCCCAUACUGCUUGGCUUGAGUACGGGAGAGGAGAAUGGAAUUCCUGGUGUAGCGGUGAAAUGCGCAGAUAUCAGGAAGAACACCCGUGGCUAAGGCGGUUCUCUAGUACGGUACUGACGCUGAGACGCGAAAGCGUGGGGAGCGAACAGG